GUUCCCGAGAGUUCUUCAUUUGCAGGGAAUAGCGGACCAUCAUCAAGGCCAGGACACUGCCGUCACUUGCCCAGGUCCCAGCCUCCAGGGUUGGACACAUGGCCAGAUUCAUCAACAACUGAGGCAGAGAUAAUGGGCUGAGCUGACUCGUUUAGAAGCAGUAAUUCCUUCUAGAGAUUCCCCAUUCAUUUAGGCACUGGAGCAAUUAUUUGCUGUCUGACACUUGCAGUUGGCUGAACUCUGGCCUUAUGUGGCUCCUGACUGUUCCUUAAUCUGCAUGGCUUGUCCAGCCACCUGUGCCAAAGAGGAUCUGAUUGGGAGAAAACAGGAAGAUCUUCAGCCCAGCACCUUAAGAAGACAAAAGUGCAGCCUUUAAGCAGGUGAGGGCACUGCAUUGAAAAUCGAGAAUGAGCCAUACGGACUGUUGAUUUGGAGAGUAAUUUUUAGGCUCCUGACAUAGCCAGUGCAUAGAUUUUGUAAAGAAGUUUUACAAAAGUAAAUAUGAGUAAUUUGUACUGCCAAUGUGGUUUGCUGAUACGCUAGCUCAUUAAAGUUUGUGAUUUCCAUAGGAGUUGUAACCCCAAAAUAAACUUGCUUUGCAA
This is a long non-coding RNA of Chinchilla lanigera (long-tailed chinchilla), 602 nucleotides long. RefSeq lists it as uncharacterized. The record is from RefSeq and is a predicted model, not a curated record. The transcript has 3 exons. Lineage: Eukaryota; Metazoa; Chordata; Mammalia; Rodentia; Chinchillidae.